GGUCAAGUUAAUAAGAGCAUAGGGCGGAUGCCUUGGCACUAGGAGCCGAAGAAGGACGUGGUAAGCUGCGAAAAGCUACGGGGAGCUGCAAGCAAGUGUAGAUCCGUAGAUGUCCGAAUGGGGAAACCCGGCUGGAGUAAUGUCCAGUCAUCCAUAGCUGAAUACAUAGGCUAUGGAGGGGAACUCGGGGAACUGAAACAUCUAAGUACCCGAAGGAAGAGAAAACAAAAGUGAUUUCCAGAGUAGUGGCGAGCGAAAUGGAAAUAGCCCAAACCUGAGUCUUCGGACGA
Molecule: ribosomal RNA, 290 nt
Filed under: Fusibacter bizertensis
Lineage: Bacteria; Bacillati; Bacillota; Clostridia; Eubacteriales; Fusibacteraceae
Description: partial 23S ribosomal RNA
Rfam family: Bacterial large subunit ribosomal RNA
Source: RNAcentral